This 256-nucleotide unclassified non-coding RNA is filed under the name uncultured Chloroflexota bacterium. RNAcentral's name for it is "uncultured Chloroflexi bacterium contains 16S-23S intergenic spacer region". It matches the Rfam family "Bacterial small subunit ribosomal RNA", at positions 524 to 776 of the family's 1533-position model. The record is from RNAcentral. Lineage: Bacteria; Bacillati; Chloroflexota.
UACGUAGGGGGCAAGCGUUGUCCGGAUUUACUGGGCGUAAAGAGCGCGCAGGUGGCCGCGCGCAGUCCGUCGUUAAAGCCCGGGGCUCAACUCCGGGUGGUCGACGGAAACGGUGCGGCUGAUGAGGGCGGUAGAGGAGCACGGAAUUCCCGGUGUAGUGGUGAAAUGCGUAGAUAUCGGGAGGAACACCCGUGGCGAAGGCGGUGCUCUGGGCCGACCCUGACGCUGAGGCGCGAAAGCGUGGGGAGCGAACCGG